CCUACGAGAGUCAGCAGUGAGGAAUAUUGGUCAAUGGACUCGAGCCUGAACCAGCCAAGUAGCGUGAAGGAUGACUGCCCUACGGGUUGUAAACUUCUUUUAUAAAGGAAUAAAGUGAGGCACGUGUGCCUUUUUGUAUGUACUUUAUGAAUAAGGAUCGGCUAACUCCGUGCCAGCAGCCGCGGUAAUACGGAGGAUCCGAGCGUUAUCCGGAUUUAUUGGGUUUAAAGGGAGCGUAGAUGGGUUGUUAAGUCAGUUGUGAAAGUUUGCGGCUCAACCGUAAAAUUGCAAUUGAUACUGGCAGUCUUGAGUACAGUUGAGGUAGGCGGAAUUCGUGGUGUAGCGGUGAAAUGCUUAGAUAUCACGAAGAACUCCGAUUGCGAAGGCAGCUUACUAAACUGCCACUGACAUUGAUGCUCGAAAGUGUGGGUAUCAAACAGGAUUAGAUACCCGAGUAGUC
This 460-nucleotide ribosomal RNA is filed under the name uncultured bacterium. Its description in RNAcentral is "partial 16S ribosomal RNA". It matches the Rfam family "Bacterial small subunit ribosomal RNA", at positions 338 to 795 of the family's 1533-position model. The record is from RNAcentral.